Molecule: ribosomal RNA, 187 nt
Filed under: uncultured bacterium
Lineage: Bacteria
Description: partial 16S ribosomal RNA
Rfam family: Bacterial small subunit ribosomal RNA
Source: RNAcentral
GACUACAUGAAGCUGGAAUCGCUAGUAAUCGCAGGUCAGCAUACUGCGGUGAAUACGUUCCCGGGUCUUGUACACACCGCCCGUCACACCAUGGGAGCCGGAAAUGCCCGAAGCCAGUGACCCAACCUUAGGGAGGGAGCUGUCGAAGGUGGAGCCGGUAACUGGGGUGAAGUCGUAACAAGGUACC